AACACGUCUUGCAAGUGAUUUUCGUAAGGCCCGGAAGCAUUCACGUCUGCAUAUAUUCGGCCCCAACACCGCUGCCGCCCCGGGCUUCAUGCCUGGCGCCGCCUCUGCCCGCCCCACGUGGCUGCCUGUGCCCUCCCGGCCCGGCUCACCUGACGCCGCCCCUGCGUCUGACCUGCCCACGGGCGGUGGCCGGCCGGCCGGAGCACGACUGGUCCGCCGCGCGCGCGAGCUUUUGCUACGGGCGCUCGGUGCGGGCGGGGGGCUCCCGGCGUGGUGACUGCUUCUGGAAGAAAUUUGGACUUCAGUUAUACGAGUGUUUGUCCGCGGUGUGUCUGGGCGGUCUCCCGGUGCCGAGUCCCGUCCGGCGGCUGCACUGUUGACCCGGGAUUCCGGUCCGUGGUCCGAACUCCGGCCACCUCGGACCUAUAAACGGACUGUCUCCGAACGGUGCGGCAGUACAGGAGGGAGUAUGGCGCCGGUAUACAGCUGACACCAGACAAACGUCCAUCGGCAAGUCACCACGGAACAGACUCGAACUCCGGAAUCUCCUCCUGCCCCGCAUGUGGAA
Long non-coding RNA from Amphibalanus amphitrite, 568 nucleotides. RefSeq lists it as uncharacterized. The record is from RefSeq and is a predicted model, not a curated record. NCBI's taxonomy places the organism in Eukaryota, Metazoa, Arthropoda, Thecostraca, Balanomorpha, Balanidae. The transcript is spliced from 3 exons.